UACGGGGGGGGCAAGCGUUGUUCGGAAUUACUGGGCGUAAAGGGCUCGUAGGUGGCCAACUAAGUCAGACGUGAAAUCCCCAGGCUUAACCUGGGAACUGCGUCUGAUACUGGAUGGCUUGAAUUCGGGAGAGGGAUGCAGAAUUCCAGGUGUAGCGGUGAAAUGCGUAGAUAUCGAGAGGAACACCAGUGGCGAAGGCGAGUCCCUGGACAACACCUGACACUGAGGCACGAAAGCUAGGGGAGCAAACAGG
This 253-nucleotide ribosomal RNA is filed under the name uncultured bacterium. RNAcentral's name for it is "partial 16S ribosomal RNA". It matches the Rfam family "Bacterial small subunit ribosomal RNA", at positions 524 to 776 of the family's 1533-position model. The record is from RNAcentral.